AGGCUUGUAGCUCAGGUGGUUAGAGCGCACCCCUGAUAAGGGUGAGGUCGGUGGUUCAAGUCCACUCAGAGUUUACCA
Molecule: transfer RNA, 78 nt
Filed under: Providencia rettgeri
Lineage: Bacteria; Pseudomonadati; Pseudomonadota; Gammaproteobacteria; Enterobacterales; Morganellaceae
Description: tRNA-Ile
Rfam family: tRNA
About the family: Transfer RNA (tRNA) molecules are approximately 80 nucleotides in length. Their secondary structure includes four short double-helical elements and three loops (D, anti-codon, and T loops).
Source: RNAcentral